UACGUAGGUGACAAGCGUUGUCCGGAUUUACUGGGCGUAAAGAGCGCGCAGGCGGUCGUUCAAGUCGAGUGUGAAAGCCCCCGGCUCAACUGGGGAGGGUCAUUCGAUACUGAUCGACUCGAAGGCAGGAGAGGGUAGUGGAAUUCCCGGUGUAGUGGUGAAAUGCGUAGAUAUCGGGAGGAACACCAGUGGCGAAGGCGACUACCUGGCCUGUUCUUGACGCUGAGGUGCGAAAGCGUGGGGAGCAAACAGG
Molecule: ribosomal RNA, 253 nt
Filed under: uncultured bacterium
Lineage: Bacteria
Description: partial 16S ribosomal RNA
Rfam family: Bacterial small subunit ribosomal RNA
Source: RNAcentral